RNAcentral lists this ribosomal RNA (441 nucleotides) under uncultured bacterium. Its description in RNAcentral is "bacterial SSU rRNA". It matches the Rfam family "Bacterial small subunit ribosomal RNA", at positions 338 to 795 of the family's 1533-position model. The record is from RNAcentral.
CCUACGGGUGGCAGCAGUGGGGAAUCUUGCGCAAUGGGCGAAAGCCUGACGCAGCAACGCCGCGUGCGGGAAGAAGGCCUUCGGGUUGUAAACCGCUUUCAGCAGGAACGAAAAUGACGGUACCUGCAGAAGAAGGUGCGGCCAACUACGUGCCAGCAGCCGCGGUGACACGUAGGCACCAAGCGUUGUCCGGAUUUAUUGGGCGUAAAGAGCUCGUAGGCGGUUCAGUAAGUCGGGUGUGAAAACUCUGGGCUUAACCCAGAGCCUGCACCCGAAACUGCUGUGACUAGAGUUCGGUAGGGGAGCGGGGAAUUCCUGGUGUAGCGGUGAAAUGCGCAGAUAUCAGGAGGAACACCGGUGGCGAAGGCGCCGCUCUGGGCCGACACUGACGCUGAGGAGCGAAAGCGUGGGUAGCAAACAGGAUUAGAUACCCUAGUAGUC